Molecule: small nuclear RNA, 140 nt
Organism: Lemur catta (Ring-tailed lemur)
Lineage: Eukaryota; Metazoa; Chordata; Mammalia; Primates; Lemuridae
Product: U4 spliceosomal RNA
Exons: 1
Source: RefSeq, a predicted model, not a curated record
AGUUUUGCACAGUGGCAGUAUUGUAGCCAAUGAGGUUUAUAUGAGCCACAAUUAUUGCUAAUUGAAAACUUUUCCCAAUACUUAGCAUGACGACUUGAAAUGUAGUUGGCAUUGGCAAUUUUUGACAGUCUCUACAGAAA